CUUCAUUUGAAUGACGUACAAAGCAUCACAGAUUCACUUGACAUUCAAUUGAACCUAUCACAUACAGACUAUACAGUAAAUAACAAUAAAAUGCAAUCACUAAUUAACAAAUUACAAAUUGAAUCAACAAGUGGUGGCUGCAAGCGUGGAGUGAGGAAUCACUUACUUCAAAAUAUUUUUAUUAAAGUCGGCUGGAGUGAGCGAGGACCAGAGGGCGGCGCGGCUAUUGCAGGACCGGAGGGCGGCGCGGUCUGGUAAUGGUGGUUGCAGGCGUCGUCUAAUGCAGGAGGGCUGAUGGCAACGUGGUCAAGUAGUGGUGGCUGGCGGCGCAGUCUGUUGUAUGGCGACGAUUGAAAGCGGCGGCCGUUGCGGACCGAUGGAAAUGGCCGCGGAGUGCACGGAGGAGGCGUAGAUUCCUGGCGCCGCUAACGAUUUGGGAGGGAAGAUAGCAUAUUUGGAGAGAAUUGGGAGAGAGGCAGC
Molecule: long non-coding RNA, 480 nt
Filed under: Salvia miltiorrhiza (redroot sage)
Lineage: Eukaryota; Viridiplantae; Streptophyta; Magnoliopsida; Lamiales; Lamiaceae
Description: long non-coding RNA (SMIL_LNC004813)
Source: RNAcentral